UAGGGAAUAUUGGGCAAUGGCCGAGAGGCUGACCCAGCCAUGCCGCGUGCAGGACGAAGGCUUUCUGAGUCGUAAACUGCUUUUGCCAGGGAAGAAUAAGGGGCGUGCGCGCUCCGACGACGGUACCUGGUGAAUAAGCACCGGCUAACUCCGUGCCAGCAGCCGCGGUAAUACGGAGGGUGCAAGCGUUGUCCGGAUUUAUUGGGUUUAAAGGGUGCGUAGGCGGUUCUUUAAGUCCGGGGUGAAAGCCCACUGCUCAACAGUGGAACUGCCCUGGAAACUGGAGAACUUGAGUACAGACGAGGGCGGCGGAAUGGAUGGUGUAGCGGUGAAAUGCAUAGAUACCAUCCAGAACCCCGAUUGCGAAGGCAGCUGCCUAGACUGUAACUGACGCUGAGGCACGAAAGCGUGGGGAGCGAACAGG
Molecule: ribosomal RNA, 424 nt
Filed under: uncultured bacterium
Lineage: Bacteria
Description: bacterial SSU rRNA
Rfam family: Bacterial small subunit ribosomal RNA
Source: RNAcentral